ACCAUCCUUUUCUUGGGGUAGUGCAACUAUCCAAUUAAUGAGUAGUGAGGGCAGUACUGCUAAUGCCUACACAACACAUCUGCAUCAACUAGAGCUUUGCUUUACUUUGGUGCAAUUUUUGGGAAA
Molecule: non-coding RNA, 126 nt
Filed under: Microcebus murinus (gray mouse lemur)
Lineage: Eukaryota; Metazoa; Chordata; Mammalia; Primates; Cheirogaleidae
Description: U4atac minor spliceosomal RNA (ENSMICG00000042212.1)
Rfam family: U4atac minor spliceosomal RNA
About the family: U4atac is an essential component of the minor U12-type spliceosome complex which is required for removal of the rarer class of eukaryotic introns (AT-AC, U12-type).
Source: Rfam by way of RNAcentral